Oryzias latipes (Japanese medaka) is the source of this 835-nucleotide non-coding RNA. NCBI's taxonomy places the organism in Eukaryota, Metazoa, Chordata, Actinopteri, Beloniformes, Adrianichthyidae. The record is from RefSeq and is a predicted model, not a curated record.
GCAUUUCUACAAAAAACACCAGCGACUGCAUGGAGAGGUGGCGUUUACCGGUACCGUCGACUUCGACUUAAUCCGCGGAGCUCCAAUAGACCGAAACAAACUUAAUUUGGGGUCCAACUACCUCGUCUGAGCUUCACUUCCUCCGGAUAAGGUCGUCAGACAAAAGGAGUCCUUGUGGGAUGUCGUCACUUCCGGUUCUUGAUGGACAGUUUGCUUGAGACGGAAUGUUACAGCAGUAAAGCCUUUUUUUUAAAUUGUGAAACAGUAAAGACAGUUUUGUGUCACUUCAAAUAAGACUCCUUUAACUUAUCUUAAUUAUUAAUUUAGCUGAAAGCUGCAGAUAAUAAACAUUAGCCUGUGUGUAGCCUCUGCUUCUUUAUAUAUGAAAUAUAUGGUUUUCCUUUAAAGAAGCUUAAUGUUUAAUUAUUUUUUCUAAAGUUUUAAAAACGUUUUUGAAAAUAAAUUGAAUAAAUACACUAAGAAAACUUCAAAAUACUCUAGCUGUUUGAAGGAAUAUGUAAUCAUCAACCAUGACAGAACCUAAAGUAAAGAGCAUAAAUAGACAAAAAACAAUAUCAUACCAGAAAAAAGUUGUAUAGAUUAAAUCAAAGUUAUCUAUUUAGAAAAGUUAAAAAAAAAAUAAAAAAUCACAUUAGAUCAAUAUAGGGCCAUAUACUGUAUUUUAUUAUUAUUUAACAACGAAAUAUUAAUAGAUACAUUUAUAGUCUAUUUAUUUUAAAAUUAUACAUCAUAACAUCACAGAGGAGAAAUUCACGCAUUGUUGAAAUUGGUUUCAGUACAACCCAAAGAAAGAUAAUAAAUCAGUAUUUUUGGA